AUUGAACGCUGGCGGCAGGCCUAACACAUGCAAGUCGAGCGAGCGGCGGACGGGUGAGUAAUGUCUGGGCAACUGCCUGAUGGAGGGGGAUAACUACUGGAAACGGUAUCUAAUACCGCAUACCAUCAGAUGUGCCCAGAUGGGAUUAGCUAGUAGGUGGGGUAACGGCUCACCUAGGCGACGAUCCCUAGCUGGUCUGAGAGGAUGACAAGCCAAACUGGAACUGAGACACGGCCCAGACUCCUACGGGAGGCAGCAGUGGGGAAUAGUGCACAAUGGGCGCAAGCCGGAUGCGGCCAUGCCGCGUGUAGGAAGAAGGCCUUCGGGUUGUAAAGUACUUUCAGCGGGGAGGCGGUACCGGCAGAAGAAGCCCCGGCUAACUCCGUGCCAGCAGCCGCGGUAAUUC
RNAcentral lists this ribosomal RNA (406 nucleotides) under uncultured bacterium. Its description in RNAcentral is "partial 16S ribosomal RNA". It matches the Rfam family "Bacterial small subunit ribosomal RNA", at positions 29 to 526 of the family's 1533-position model. The record is from RNAcentral.